CUCGUAGGCGGCUUGGCAAGUCGAUCGUGAAAGCCCGGGGCUUAACCCCGGGACGCCGGUCGAUACUGCCAUGGCUUGGGUCCGGUAGAGGAGAAUGGAAUUCCCGGUGUAGCGGUGAAAUGCGCAGAUAUCGGGAGGAACACCAGUAGCGAAGGCGGUUCUCUGGGCCGGUACCGACGCUGAGGAGCGGAAGCGUGGGGAGCAAACAGGAUUAGAUACCCUGGUAGUCC
This 230-nucleotide ribosomal RNA is filed under the name uncultured bacterium. Its description in RNAcentral is "partial 16S ribosomal RNA". It matches the Rfam family "Bacterial small subunit ribosomal RNA", at positions 568 to 796 of the family's 1533-position model. The record is from RNAcentral.